This 501-nucleotide ribosomal RNA is filed under the name uncultured Glomus. Its description in RNAcentral is "SSU rRNA". It matches the Rfam family "Eukaryotic small subunit ribosomal RNA", at positions 569 to 1075 of the family's 1831-position model. The record is from RNAcentral. Lineage: Eukaryota; Fungi; Glomeromycota; Glomeromycetes; Glomerales; Glomeraceae.
AGCAGCCGCGGUAAUUCCAGCUCCAAUAGCGUAUAUUAAAGUUGUUGCAGUUAAAAAGCUCGUAGUUGAAUUUCGGGAUCAUCAGGUUGGUCGUGCCUCUGGUAUGUACUAGUCUCGAUGGUUCCUCCUUCUUGAAGAACCGUAAUGCCAUUAAUUUGGUGUUGCGGGGAAACAGGACUGUUACUUUGAAAAAAUUAGAGUGUUUAAAGCAGGCAAUCGCUUGAAUACAUUAGCAUGGAAUAAUGAGAUAGGACGUUCGAUCCUAUUUUGUUGGUUUCUAGGAUUGACGUAAUGAUUAAUAGGGAUAGUUGGGGGCAUUAGUAUUCAAUUGUCAGAGGUGAAAUUCUUGGAUUUAUUGAAGACUAACUACUGCGAAAGCAUUUGCCAAGGAUGUUUUCAUUAAUCAAGACGAAAGUUAGGGGAUCGAAGACGAUCAGAUACCGUCGUAGUCUUAACCAUAAACUAUGCCGACUAGGGAUCGGAUGAUGUAAUUUUUAAUGA